RNAcentral lists this ribosomal RNA (253 nucleotides) under uncultured bacterium. Its description in RNAcentral is "partial 16S ribosomal RNA". It matches the Rfam family "Bacterial small subunit ribosomal RNA", at positions 524 to 776 of the family's 1533-position model. The record is from RNAcentral.
UACGUAGGCAGCAAGCGUUGUUCGGAGUUACUGGGCGUAAAGGGUGUGUAGGCGGUUGGAUAAGUGUGGUGUGAAAUCUCCCGGCUUAACUGGGAGGGUGCGCUACAAACUGUCUGACUAGAGUAUGGGAUGGGAGAGUGGAAUUCCUGGUGUAGCGGUGAAAUGCGUAGAUAUCAGGAGGAACACCCGUGGCGAAAGCGGCUCUCUGGGACGGUACUGACGCUGAGACGCGAAAGCGUGGGGAGCAAACAGG